GGGCCCGCACAAGCGGAGGAACAUGUGGUUUAAUUCGAUGAUACGCGAGGAACCUUACCCGGGCUUGAAAGUUAGCGACGGACAUAGAAAUAUGUCUUCCCUUCGGGGCGCGAAACUAGGUGCUGCAUGGUUGUCGUCAGCUCGUGCCGUGAGGUGUCGGGUUAAGUCCCAUAACGAGCGCAACCCCUACCGUUAGUUGCCAUCAGGUCAAGCUGGGCACUCUAGCGGGACUGCCGGUGUAAGCCGAGAGGAAGGUGGGGAUGACGUCAAAUCAGCACGGCCCUUACGUCCGGGGCGACACACGUGUUACAAUGGUCGGUACAGAGGGCAGCUACCUGGUGACAGGAUGCGAAUCUCGAAAGCCGAUCUCAGUUCGGAUUGGAGGCUGAAACUCGCCUCCAUGAAGUUGGAUUCGCUAGUAAUCGCGCAUCAGCCAUGGCGCGGUGAAUACG
Molecule: ribosomal RNA, 452 nt
Filed under: uncultured Bacteroidales bacterium
Lineage: Bacteria; Pseudomonadati; Bacteroidota; Bacteroidia; Bacteroidales
Description: bacterial SSU rRNA
Rfam family: Bacterial small subunit ribosomal RNA
Source: RNAcentral